Molecule: long non-coding RNA, 202 nt
Filed under: Elaeis guineensis (African oil palm)
Lineage: Eukaryota; Viridiplantae; Streptophyta; Magnoliopsida; Arecales; Arecaceae
Description: long non-coding RNA (EGUI_LNC066787)
Source: RNAcentral
UAGGCUUGAUUAAUUCAUAUACUAAUUAGGUCCGUAUUUUUCUUUCUUUUCAGAAAUGACUAAUAAUUGAAAAAAAUUUACGGUAGUGCAGUACAUGCAAUUUUAAAAUUUUUAUGUAGUAAAAAUAAUGAAUUAAAUAAUUUAAUCUUAAUCAUAUGUAUAAGAUCUAAUCUUAGACUACCACAUCAAGAUCUUUGAUAUG